CCCAAAUGCCAAACUAGUAGUUCUGUACCAGUAUUGUAGAGAGGCAGAUGUAGACUCCUUAGAAGAAAAAAACUUUCUAACAAUUACUAGAAAUGACUGCCUUAAGAAGUAUUGGGUUUCCUCUUACUAGAAGUCUUCAGGCAGAGGAUGAAUGAGGGGAUUCUUGAUAAUGUGAAGAUUGGAGUAAAUGGCCUCUGAGGCCCCUUCUAACUCUCACAUUCUGGUAUUCUAUAUUCCAAUGAACUUUUAAAAAUAUUUAUUGCGAGCCUACCAAAGCAGUAGUCAGAAUCUUUGUGUGUGUUCGUUUCCUAGCCUGUAAAAUUAGAAGCUUGAGCUCAAUUAUACCUAAGGCAUCUUCUGAGGACAUAUAGCAUGCUUACCAAAAUUGCAGAUGACUUGAAACUGGAAAGAAAGCUGGAUUGGAUUACAGACAACUUGGAACAGUGGACUGAAGCAAAGAAGUUCCAUCAAUGAAAGUAGCAGUAGCUGCUUCACCUAUGACUAAAGGAAACCGUAAAAGAAGCAGCAGCUUACAGGUAAAUUCUGAUUAUGUUUAAGAACCAUGUUAUGAAUGCAUGUUACUUGAUGAUCUCUAGGGAAUUAGUUUAGUAACAUUUGCUGAUAUAUGACAAACAUUCUUCCACUGAGCACAUACUGAUGGAGAAAACCCACCAACUGGCUAUGACAGAGAUAAAUGAAAAUUUAGAAAAUCAUCACAUACUCUGAAGAUUUCUGGGGGAAAUUAUUUCUAUGCUGAAUCAGAAAGCUUAAUAUUAAACUUGCAAACAGCUACUUGGCCAAGGUGAUUAAUGACAUAUUCAGGUCUUCAGCAAAAAAAAUAGUGAUUUUUAACUAUUUGACUACAGUGUAUGAGAGGCAGGGAUUAAAAAGAAAAAAAAUGUUUAAGGGGAAGGUAAAUUUUUGGAACUUAUCUGCAAGGCUGUCUUAAACACUUUAAGAAAAUUCCACAGCGAUCAAAAGCCCUGCAAAUAUAGUACUUAAACCGGUCAAUAAAUGUG
This 1019-nucleotide long non-coding RNA is filed under the name Monodelphis domestica (gray short-tailed opossum). RNAcentral describes it as "lncRNA (ENSMODG00000041515.1)". The record is from RNAcentral. Lineage: Eukaryota; Metazoa; Chordata; Mammalia; Didelphimorphia; Didelphidae.